GUCUGUCUGUCUGUCUGUCUGUCUGUCUGUCUGUCUGUCUGUCUGUCUGUCUGUCUGUCUGUCUGUCUGUCUGGGAGUCUGUUUGUGUUGCAAUGGCCAUGAGACAUACCAUUGACCGCCAGCAUCCCAGCUACAAAGAGGGGAAAUGUAAAUUGCUUGAAAGUAAACAAGACCACCUUAUAGCUGAAGCUGAGAGAGCCGUUGAGGAGAGGAAACGUGCGCGUUCUGGUGGAGGACCUCCAUGUGGCUCCACUAGUGACGGUGCAAGACGAGGCAAGCCGAGGGGGAGGCGUGGAGGGCGACGCGGAGGGCGACGCAAAGCCUCAGCCACAGUCACGUUCCCCCCAGCUGAGUGCUCCCCGUCAUCCCAUGAGGACGUUCCGCUUACUGUACCUUCAGCGCAACUGAAUCCUCAAGAGGCAUUUGAAAAGUUUGUGGAGAGGCUUUCAUCUCUAAAUGCCUCUGGUCCUUCUGCCAAGCCUCAAAGAAGCUCUGCAUCUUCAUGGACUUUUCGGCAGCAGAAAGCCUCAGAGCGCUGGACAGAAGCACGACCAAACCACCUACAAGGCCUCAUUGAAAAGGAGGCUGUUGGUCAUCCCUUGUGUUGCCUCUGCCCCAAGCCGGCUGUUAUUAGGUGCAGAGAGUGUCUCCCUGAAGAGUGGUUCUGUGGGGACUGCGAUGUACUGCAUCACAAAAAACAGCCACUCCACAACAGGGAAUGUCUGACACGUGGGUUCUUUGAACCCAUUCCUCCAACCACACGCGUCAUGAAAGGGGAGGAUGGAUAUUUCACUCAGGAGCAAGCUUGCAUCUUGCCAACUGUGAGUGUGUCAAACUGCGUCUGCGAUGGCACAACCUUCACUGUGUUACCAGGCAAACCAGUGAUUUUAAUUAACAUCAAUGGACGUUAUGACUUGCAUCAGCCACUGUAUGUAUGUCAGACGUGCCAGCAGCAGAGGACCCCUGACAUGAAGCACUUCCUUCAGAGUGGAUAUUGGCCAGCCUCUCUCAAUACUUCCACGUUGUACACGUUGGACCUCUUGAGCUCCUUUCAGGAACUGAAAGUAAUCUCUCCGGGAUUCUCCAGACAGGCCUUCGCAAAGCUCCUGGAGCAUCGCACCAAGUGUGGAGGACGAUCUGGACAUAUCAAAGGUGACACCCUGCAGCGCAGCUUCUUGGAGUUUUCAUAUGCUUCGUUUGAGAAGGACCAACUCUGCUGUGGUGCUGUUCUCACCUGCCCAGCCUGCACACCAGAAAUGUUGGCUGUUUCAGUAGAUGGAAACAGAAAGUUAUAUCGCUUUCGCCGAAAUGGAAGUUCUGGUGACCAUGCCUUUUUUGAAGGUUUAUUUGUGGCUGAAGACAGUGCAGUGUCUGGAUUUGUGGACAUGAUCCAGAAAGCUGUGAAAAAGACACAGGGAAGAGGCACGUGUGGGGACUCCCAAUGGACAGCAGCACGGGAGACAUCAAGAAGGGCAUCCAAAUUGGAUGAAGAGGGCAUGGAGGUUGCUGUGUGUCGCCAUGGUUUCCUUCUUAAAGCCCUUAAUAUGUACAGGGAG
Molecule: long non-coding RNA, 1556 nt
Organism: Gadus morhua (Atlantic cod)
Lineage: Eukaryota; Metazoa; Chordata; Actinopteri; Gadiformes; Gadidae
Source: Ensembl